This 421-nucleotide ribosomal RNA is filed under the name uncultured archaeon. Its description in RNAcentral is "bacterial SSU rRNA". It matches the Rfam family "Archaeal small subunit ribosomal RNA", at positions 459 to 880 of the family's 1478-position model. The record is from RNAcentral.
CAGCCGCCGCGGUAAUACUCGGAGUCCAAGUGAUGGCCGCUGUUAUUGGGUCUAAAGCGUCCGUAGCCGGUCCUGUAAGUCCCUGGUGAAAUCUGGCAGCAAACUGUCAGGCGUGCUGGGGUUACUGCGGGACUCGAGACCGGGAGAGGGCACAGGUACUCGUAGGGUAGGGGUUAAAUCCUAUAAUCCUACGGGGACCACCUGUGGCGAAGGCGUGUGCCUGGAACGGGUCUGACGGUGAGGGACGAAAGCUAGGGGAGCGAUUGGGAUUAGAUACCCCAGUAGUCCUAGCCGUAAACGAUGCCCGCUUGGUGUUGCAGUCCUCUUGGGGGAUUGCAGUGCCGGAGCGUAGGUGUUAAGCGGGCCACCUGGGGAGUAUACUCGCAAGGGUGAAACUUAAAGGAAUUGGCGGGGGAGCACA